Long non-coding RNA from Limulus polyphemus (Atlantic horseshoe crab), 324 nucleotides. RefSeq lists it as uncharacterized. The record is from RefSeq and is a predicted model, not a curated record. The transcript has 2 exons. NCBI's taxonomy places the organism in Eukaryota, Metazoa, Arthropoda, Merostomata, Xiphosura, Limulidae.
GUAACAAGCCCUGUGUCGAGAGUAUAUGUAUUAGCAUAUUCAUAGUAUUAGAAAGGGUUAACGAAACUGGAUACGAAAAGUUGAUACCAACUUUUCCUGAAUAUUGAGAGAUGGAGAACAACGUCCUUACAGAAAAUCUUAAUUGUGUAUUCAAUGAGAAAGUCACACUCAGUCGGAAAAUUCUCGGAGUUGAGAAAAAGUUAGUUAAUGACCUAUGUGACGUCCUAAGAAAAAGUGUGACGUCAAACUUUACGUCAUAGACAGACAUGACUUUGAUUUCCAGUUUCGAUACAAUAUUCGAAAAAGAUUUAGAAGAAACGUUUU